RNAcentral lists this long non-coding RNA (328 nucleotides) under Elaeis guineensis (African oil palm). Its description in RNAcentral is "long non-coding RNA (EGUI_LNC021352)". Lineage: Eukaryota; Viridiplantae; Streptophyta; Magnoliopsida; Arecales; Arecaceae. The record is from RNAcentral.
GCUCUCGACACCCCCACACAUAAUAUCACCGCCCUUCUUUUCUAAAGCCCUUGGACGAUCGUCUACCGGGACUCCAACAACCAGCCGAGCGCUUGCGGUUCUACUUCUAUGACAACAUUUCUCAUUAGAUUUUGGUGUGCACCAGCAGUAGCAAUGUGGCUAGAUAUCUGAGUUGCACUUAUUAUGCAGUUAUAGAUAAAGAAGACGUGGUAGAUGAACAAACGAAAGAGGGAGAUGGAAUAGAGAUGUCAACGACGAUGGAUAUCGGAAUAUUUCAUCCAUCCCCAAAUCGAACAGAAUUGUUUUAAUCGAAAUUAAAUGGGGGGGA